AUACGUAGGGGGCAAGCGUUAUCCGGAUUUACUGGGUGUAAAGGGCGUGUAGGCGGCCGAUUAAGUCUGGAGUGAAAGUCCCGCUUUCAAGGUGGGAAUUGCUUUGGAGACUGGUUGGCUUGAGUGCGGAAGAGGUAAGUGGAAUUCCCAGUGUAGCGGUGAAAUGCGUAGAGAUUGGGAGGAACACCAGUGGCGAAGGCGACUUACUGGGCCGUAACUGACGCUGAGGCGCGAAAGCGUGGGGAGCGAACAGGAUUAGAUACCCUGGUAGUCCACGCUGUAAACGAUGAAUGCUAGGUGUAGGGGGUAUCGACCCCUCCUGUGCCGGAGUAAACGCAAUAAGCAUUCCGCCUGGGGAGUACGGCCGCAAGGUUGAAACUCAAAUGAAUUGACGGGG
This 397-nucleotide ribosomal RNA is filed under the name uncultured bacterium. RNAcentral describes it as "partial 16S ribosomal RNA". It matches the Rfam family "Bacterial small subunit ribosomal RNA", at positions 523 to 918 of the family's 1533-position model. The record is from RNAcentral.